RNAcentral lists this long non-coding RNA (3438 nucleotides) under Callithrix jacchus (white-tufted-ear marmoset). RNAcentral describes it as "lncRNA (ENSCJAG00000075913.1)". The record is from RNAcentral. Lineage: Eukaryota; Metazoa; Chordata; Mammalia; Primates; Cebidae.
AUGAAAGAGAAAGUGACAUUUUCUAGAACUCAGCACUUCCUUAUUUCAUUUGCAAGCAUGGUUUUAAAGGCUGAAGUUGGCCCUGGUGAAGGUCAGAGAUCAUACAUGGUUUCUAUAGUGACAGAAGCUGCCGCAAGUCCGGGCAAUAAAAGGACAACAAUCAUCAACACAGAAGACUUCUGCAACCAAAUGUGUGGGGAUCUCCCACCACACACAUACACACCAAGCAGUGGGCACCAGCUGGGUGUCCUCCAAUUCAGUUCCAACACUAUCUACCUGGAAAGAGUGUCUGAUCCUACAGGUGGAGGGCUCAGUCAGAUGAAGAGAUGCAUUAGGCGCGGUCUAGAAGGAUCCUGAGCGCAGGAGCUUUUGUCCUCACAGAGUAAGUUCUUCUUCCCCUUCCUGUCUGCCUCCACGUGUUCAGCUCUCCAGAAACCCCCUGAACCCUGUUCUCUGGGCCUUUUAUGGAAAAUUCUUUGGUUUUCCAUGACUGAAGCAUGUAAUUGAACAAAAUGUGAUUGCACAAAAAGGACGUGAUCUAAUCCCAGCAAGGUGUGUCUGUACAGAUUCUUCAUCUCUCUGCAGCAUUCCUUCCUCCAGGGUAUGGGGCAUGACUUCCUCUGGAAUGAGGAUCUUAUGAUCCAUAAACAGAUUAUAGAAUCCUGCCUUGGGUGGAUGAAAGGAGGGCAAAAGAAGGUCAGAGAGAGAGAUUCUGUUUCCUGAGUGCUAAACUACCUCUAUGUUACAACAAAAGACUGUAACAAGUGUCAUGGGAAGUAUGAACCAGGAACCAUGGACAAAAACCUAUACAUAUGUAAUCAUAAGAUCACACCCCCCCACCACACACCACAUUGUUCUACAUAGAAAUGCCUUCACUAUACAGCUUUCAUUCAUUCAUUCAUCCAUUCAUCCAUUCAUUCAUUCACUCAUUCAAUGAGUAAUGUUGAAUUCCAAACCAGGAACUGUGCUACAUGUUGGGGAUGACAUGGCCCCUAGCCUCAAGAGCCUUCUCUUCCAUGGUUGAUGGUGGGUAUUGAUGACAGAUGGUCAGUCAGCAGUAACUAUAAUGAAUGUUAGGAUAAAGAGAAGCCCAGAAGGCUCCUUGGUGUUCCAACUGCUCAUAGGAUAAGCUGCUUGUCUUGUUCACUCCUGUAUCUCCAAUGCCCAUGAUCAUACCUGACACAAGAAGUGCACAGUGUUUACUGAAUUCAAUAAGGAUCUGACUGAUGCUGAGUGCCAACCCUCCCGCUCAGUGGCUCCUCCCCCUUGGCCCUAAACCUGAUACCUGGAUGAAAACACAUAAGGAUACGUGACAAUUCUUCAAGUAGGUCACAGAAUGUUCCAGCUGAGAGGAAACUGACAUAGCUUUUUACAUCAUCACUGCCAUCCCCUCCAUCAUGUCCCCACGGUGGGGGUGGUUAAUGAACUACUUGGACCUUCAUGCUUUCCUAAUUUCACCUUAUCCUGGAUGCUCUUCUAAGAACACUGAAGUUGGUCAAUAUUCCUAUUAAAACGUAGGAAUCUGAACCUUGAUCCAGAAUUCCUGAUUGAGAUGUCACCUCAGUUUCCAUGUGCAUCCUCAGAGGCUCUACCCUGGCUCACCCUGGAGAGUAGGCGGCAAGAAGUCUGAUGUUACUCAGAUUUCUCUCCUGUGCCGAAAACACCUGCCUGCUAGAAUUAGAACGUGUAUUAGUCCAUUCUCGCGUUGCUAUAAAGAAGUGCCUGAGACUGGGUAAUUUAUAAGAAAAGAAGUUUAAUUGUCUCAUGAUUCCGCAGGCUGAACAGGAAGCAUGGGAGCACCUGCAUCUGGGGAGGCCUCAGGAAACUUUUAAUCCUGGAGGAAGGAAAAGCAGGAGCAGGAACGUCUCACGUAGUGGGAGCAGGAGGAAGAGGAGGGCGGGAGAGAUGCUGCACACUUUUAAACAACCAGAUCUCAUGAUAACUCACUAUCAUGAAAACAUCCCUGAGGGGAUGGUGCUAAACCAUUUAUGAAGGACCACACCCAUGAUCCAAUCACCUUCUUUCAGGCUCAACCUCCGACACUGGGAAUCACAAUUCUACCUGCGAUUUGGGUGGGAACGUAGAUCCAACCCACAUCGGAAUGCAAAUCUUUGGGGAGUAGAUGGUUAUAGAGCUCCUACUAUUAAGUCAAAAGGUUCUUGCUCUCUGAUCUUUCUACUGGUCUCCCCCAGAUGCUGAAACAGUGAGGCCCCUCUGCUAGAGGAAGUCCUUUCUCUAUAACUGCCCCAAGCAGCUCAUGGCCGGGAGCCACCUCUUCCUUGAGAUAUGGGGCUAUGGUAACAGCAAUCCUGGCUUCUGGUUGGGUCUACCAAAUAGGAACCCUCCAUAAAGAGUGGUUUUUUUUCUUAAGCAAUGUCACACCUGAGGUUAUUAACUUGGGUUAAGAAGAUGGCUAUCUACAUUAGCUUCCCACAGGCCCUGGGGUCCCAGAGAAGCAGAGCUAUUCUAGGAGAAGCUGAGAAAGAUCAUGAGUUAAGAAGUUCUCUGAGGAAGCUCAAAAGUGACUCUGCAUUUGGGUAACAAUGGCCCUCAAGGCAGAGCAGGUAUCUGGGCAACAUAAAAGUUGUGAGGAGUAAAUGGGAGGGAUGGGACAACAUGCUUUCCUAGGGCUAGGUAAGCGUCCAACCCUGGCCCAGCUCUCCAAGCCCUCCGCCAGAAAGCACCUCUGCAUGUUCUUGGGACAUGCUCAAAGCCUCCCAACUGAAUAGCAACAGAAUGGCUUUAGAACCAGGUUUCCUGAUUCCUGGGGUUGUUUUUAUUCUCAUCACUCUGCCACUUUCUGGGUCUGGAUCUCAUGGGAGCAUUCUUGGCUUGUCAAAUUCUGGAACUCUCCCUUCAAGGAUGAGUCCUGUUUGCCAGGCAGGCCUGGGCUUUUCUGGUUCUGAUGAGUGGAUUUUUUUUUUUUUUUUUUUUUUUUUUUUUGCCUUCCAGUGCCAACUGUCUCCCUGCCCCUAUCAAUUCCCUUGCUGGGAAAGGUCAUCUGGGGUCUUCAGUGGCCCCGUGGAGCCUCAUGGCCAUGGGGAGGAGUAAUGGGCAGCCUGGGGUUGGGCCUACGACCAGACCUCCCAUGGACAGCCGGCACGUGCCUUAGAAUCUGGGCAUGCUGAGCUUUUUCUUCAAACAGGGCAGUGUGGGGGCAGAAGCGGGUGGAAUCCGGAGACUUCUCGCCAUAAGAAUUCCUGCUCUCCUCCUCAGUCUAACCCUUGCUUUGCCCAUCUGGGCCACGGCAGUGCCCACAGGCAGAGCAGUGGGAAGAGGAGGAGAGGGUUUGCUCAGCUGGCGGGUCUCUGGGAGCGCGAGCCCUGCCAGCCCCUCCUCCGCGGGCUGUCUCCACUGGCUCUUCUCCCGCUUCUGCCCGCCUGUCCCUCUGGGCUGCUCGGGCGCCACCGCUACUGUCCUCAACCCGCCCCGCCAGCU